This 497-nucleotide ribosomal RNA is filed under the name uncultured bacterium. Its description in RNAcentral is "partial 16S ribosomal RNA". It matches the Rfam family "Bacterial small subunit ribosomal RNA", at positions 28 to 507 of the family's 1533-position model. The record is from RNAcentral.
GAUGAACGCUGGCGGCGUGCCUAAUACAUGCAAGUCGAGCGAACGGACGAGAAGCUUGCUUCUCUGAUGUUAGCGGCGGACGGGUGAGUAACACGUGGAUAACCUACCUAUAAGACUGGGAUAACUUCGGGAAACCGGAGCUAAUACCGGAUAAUAUUUUGAACCGCAGGGUUCAAAAGUGAAAGACGGUCUUGCUGUCACUUAUAGAUGGAUCCGCGCUGCAUUAGCUAGUUGGUAAGGUAACGGCUUACCAAGGCAACGAUGCAUAGCCGACCUGAGAGGGUGAUCGGCCACACUGGAAGUGAGACGCGGUCCAGACUCCUACGGGAGGCAGCAGUAGGGAAUCUUCCGCAAUGGGGGAAGGCCUGACGAAGCAGCGCCGCGUCAGUGAGGAAGGUCUUCGGAUCGUAAAACUCUGUUAUUAGGGAAGAACAUAUGUGUAAGUAACUGUGAACAUCUUGACGGUAACUAAUCAGAAAGCCACGGCUAACUACGUG